UGAGAUUCCCUGGUGUUUUCA
This 21-nucleotide non-coding RNA is filed under the name Arabidopsis thaliana (thale cress). Lineage: Eukaryota; Viridiplantae; Streptophyta; Magnoliopsida; Brassicales; Brassicaceae. The record is from RNAcentral.